This 107-nucleotide small nucleolar RNA is filed under the name Olea europaea subsp. europaea. RNAcentral's name for it is "Plant small nucleolar RNA R71". It matches the Rfam family "Plant small nucleolar RNA R71". From Rfam's summary of the family: R71 is a member of the C/D box family of snoRNAs containing the C (UGAUGA) and D (CUGA) box motifs. Multiple nearly identical copies of this snoRNA have been identified in Arabidopsis, and it is thought to function as a 2'-O-ribose methylation guide for 18S ribosomal RNA. Lineage: Eukaryota; Viridiplantae; Streptophyta; Magnoliopsida; Lamiales; Oleaceae. The record is from Rfam by way of RNAcentral.
AUUCCAUGAUUUAGACAUUUUUUAAACAUGUCUUUUAAUCUCUCCCAAGCAUCAUGAAAGCUUUUCGAGUCAAGUUGUUGCAAAAUAGUUAUAUCAUGCUUGAGUUU